This 254-nucleotide ribosomal RNA is filed under the name uncultured bacterium. Its description in RNAcentral is "partial 16S ribosomal RNA". It matches the Rfam family "Bacterial small subunit ribosomal RNA", at positions 524 to 776 of the family's 1533-position model. The record is from RNAcentral.
UACGUAGGGGGCAAGCGUUGUCCGGAUUCAUUGGGCGUAAAGAGCGUGUAGGCGGCCAGGUAGGUCGGUUGUGAAAACUGGAGGCUCAACCUUCAGAGGUCGACCGAAACCAUCUGGCUAGAGUCCGGGAGAGGAGAGUGGAAUUCCGUGGUGUAGCGGUGAAAUGCGCAGAUAUCAGGAAGAACACCCGUGGCGAAAGCGGCUCUCUGGAACGGUACUGACGCUGAGGAGCGAAAGCGUGGGGAGCAAACAGG